GAUGAACGCUGGCGGCGUGCUUAACACAUGCAAGUCGAACGAAGCACUUAGAGUCAAUCCCUUCGGGGUGCGACACUUUGUGACUGAGUGGCGGACGGGUGAGUAACGCGUGGGUAACCUACCUCAUACAGGGGGAUAACAGUUAGAAAUGACUGCUAAUACCGCAUAAGCGCACAGGACCACAUGGUCCGGUGUGAAAAACUCCGGUGGUAUGAGAUGGACCCGCGUCUGAUUAGCUAGUUGGUAAGGUAACGGCUUACCAAGGCGACGAUCAGUAGCCGACCUGAGAGGGUGACCGGCCACAUUGGGACUGAGACACGGCCCAAACUCCUACGGGAGGCAGCAGUGGGGAAUAUUGCACAAUGGGGGAAACCCUGAUGCAGCGACGCCGCGUGAAGGAAGAAGUAUUUCGGUAUGUAAACUUCUAUCAGCAGGGAAGAAGAUGACGGUACCUGACUAAGAAGCCCCGGCUAAUUACGUGCCAGCAGCCGCCGUAACAC
RNAcentral lists this ribosomal RNA (500 nucleotides) under uncultured bacterium. Its description in RNAcentral is "bacterial SSU rRNA". It matches the Rfam family "Bacterial small subunit ribosomal RNA", at positions 28 to 526 of the family's 1533-position model. The record is from RNAcentral.